This is a long non-coding RNA of Heterocephalus glaber (naked mole-rat), 770 nucleotides long. The record is from Ensembl. NCBI's taxonomy places the organism in Eukaryota, Metazoa, Chordata, Mammalia, Rodentia, Bathyergidae.
AUUCAGGGCCCUUCCUCCUUCUCAUACCUUCCUGGCUGCCAUGAGCUACCCUGUGAUGGAGAAAGAUGUUCUACCUCACUUACAUUAUGGCGUUAGUACUCCCUGCCUUGAGAGCAAGCCUACAUAGGUCAUAGAGUGUUCACGGCAGUGAAAAGAACAAGAAGCAGAAAACAUCUCUCAGAAAAAGUGCCUGGAAGGUUACAUAAGAUCACGACUUGGGUCUUGCUGGUCAACUCUCUCCAUUGCCUUCUUGUUUGCACCUUUUGAUGAAAGAAGUUGCCACGUUGGAAAGGCCAUGUGGCAUAGACCUGGGGCUGGCCUCCAGCCAACCUCCAGCCAGCCCUGAGGCUACCAGCCCUGUUAUGAGCCCUGGAGGAGCUACAUCCCACUGCCACCAUCUGAGGUGCAAAGCAAGUCCAUCCUCAGUGGGGUGUGCAGAUGAGACCACAGCCUUGGCCACCGUCCUCAUGGUAGCCUCAUGAGAGGACCAGAAGCAGAAGACCCAGCUCAGCAGUGUGCAGGAUCCUGACUCACAGAAACUGGGAGGUUUUUGGACAAGGCUGUGCCCUCAGAGGAUGCCUGGUGCAGGAAAGAGGCCUGCUGACCAUCAUAGGAGCCGGGCAACUUUCAGUCUGGACCUGGAUGACCCGCCAUAGUCAAACCACCUGGGAAGGGUUUGCCAGAUGGCUUGGGUCUUUCUGAGGUCCUGUACCGAGGAGGCGCGCAGAGAACUGGUGCAGCUUCAAAGCUCCUUUUUAAUCUUUAGCAAC